This 519-nucleotide long non-coding RNA is filed under the name Olea europaea subsp. europaea. Lineage: Eukaryota; Viridiplantae; Streptophyta; Magnoliopsida; Lamiales; Oleaceae. The record is from RNAcentral.
CUUUCUAACCACGUACUAAUUGCUGUAGUAAUUCUUUUCGUAAAUAACCCAAUGGACAGUGGAAGUCACAUUGGUCUCGAGAGCUCGAGCAGUCACUUUAAUAGCAUGAAUAUUUCAAUUAAAAGGAAUAAGGUACAACAUAAACCAACCUACUAAAAGCAAUGAAAAUAUAAUCUGACAGGUUAUAUACCUGAUUUAGGCACAAAAUGACCUUUAUACAACACUUUUCUUUGUCAGACUCCUGAUGUAGAUGAAGAAAUGCCAUUUCCAGGGAUUUGUCAUCAUCAGCAAAAUGGCCAUCCAAAACGUCAAUAACAGUAUAAGUUCCGCUCAGUUUUCAUUUCCUAAAAAACAAAAUCACCAAAGUCAGAAAUACGUAAUUUAUUGUGGAUGUGGGGUAUUCCCCGAGGGAUAUGUGUUUGCCAAUGUCAACAGCUUAGCACGUCGUCUUGUUCAGACUCAAAGUCGUGGUCGGAAUCUAUGAAGUCCGAAUCUUCCUUACAAUAAGCAAGGCACAUU